Non-coding RNA from Camellia sinensis, 2803 nucleotides. Lineage: Eukaryota; Viridiplantae; Streptophyta; Magnoliopsida; Ericales; Theaceae. The record is from RefSeq and is a predicted model, not a curated record.
AUGCAAGCAAAACGUGCGUGACAACGCAUAUAGUGUGUGCAUAACAAUACAAGUGAAAGUGCAUAACAAUGUAGCGAGCGUGCGUGACAACGCAAGUAAGGUGUGCAUGACAAUACAACAGGCAUGCUCUAUGUAAUGUAAUGGUAGACACACAUUCAAUACAACAGGCAUAUGCUAUGCAAGUGUGACGAUGCACAUAUUCAAUGUAAGCAUGGUAAAGGCAUGUUAUCCACAAUGUUGAGAUGCAACUUCAAAACAAGAUGAGGCAUGCUCAAUGUAAGAGUGAAAAGGCGUAUAACAAAUGCGCGUCUUACAAACAUGACAAAACACUCGUAAGGCAAGAUAUUCAAAAGCAAUUCUUGAACAAUUUUCGAAUCUUGCAAUAUAGAAAAGGAUACGAAAAAGGAUACACCUCGUGCAUAUCAAGCACCGCACACGGAAGACACGGUUCGAGGUCAUCACGAAGGCCGCUUAAGCUUCAAAAGUGUACUUUCUUGCACUUUCUUGAAAGAUGAGGGUACCAAUCAACAGAAAUACCCCAAACAAGGGCAUUGGAGACCCAUCGACCACAAGGGGAAUCUAUCGGCCAUCCAUCGACCAUCAAACAAGCUUAUUGGCCAACAACUUAGCCGAUCGGCUAACAAUUUGGCCAAUCGGCCAAAAGUGGUAGAUUCUGGGCAAUUUUGUCCAUUCACCUUGGGUCUUUAAGUAUAGGGCUUCAAACCCUAUUUCCUCACUGCCUCCAAGCCGAAAACUCUUGCUCUCUCUCUAGGUUGUUUUCCAUCCUUCGAUUCGAGCUUUUCCUUCAUUUUCAAGCCUCUCGCAACUUCCGAUUUGCGAAACCCUCUUCGUUUCAAACACUUUGAACCAAUUGAAACGUGAUUUCGGUGCCUCAUUCUUGAUUUCCUUCACUUGGGGUUUGUUUCUCCUGAGUUAGCCUUGGUUUCCAUGCCUUCUUCCGCACUUCUACUUUUUCUCCCAUUUUUCACCCCUUAGGGUUGACUUUUGGCAUUCUUGCCCAUUUUCCAUAUCCUCGGCCAUUUUUUCACUCUUCUUGAGAUGGCGGAUGACAUUCCACAGGGUGGGGCUCCUCCAGAGAUAGAUAUGGAUCCCGAGGUCGAGCUCUUGUCUCUUAGUGUUCGGCCUUUUGACCUAGCGACAUACCAGCCCGCGAUACAUGUGCUGCCUCCCGACAGUAUUCAGCAGUUCAGGAGCUUCGCGCAAGGUACGCCAUUGGAGCUCCUGCUACGCAAGCCGGAGUCGCACCUUUCUUACGGUGUCGCUGAGGGAGAUUCCCAUGCCUUCCGGGGGUAUGGGAAUACCAUCGCCCGGGGUUGGUACAUGGAGUUGCCUAAUGAAGUCUGCCAGAUUGUCGACGAGGCCGGCUUCGGCAUUUUCUGCAUGGGACUCUCACGCCUCACUACGAGUAGGCCCCUUCUAGGUGUACUGGUGGAGAGGUGGUGGGACACCAUCGAUUCCUCCCACCUUUCCGUAGCGGGGGAGAUGAUGAUGACUCUCUUCGACUUCUCCAUGCUCACUGGCAUCGGAGUAGGGGGUGAUCUGAUCCCCUUUGACACCGACGUGGGCGAGUAAGAUGCUGCCCAGAUGUUCUUGCUUGGCGCUCGCCCACCUCUCUCUCGGCUAGGGUUCGUGAGAUGUUCAUGGUUCAAGGACCAGUUUAGGGGACAGACGCUGACGACCUAGGAGAAGGUCGAGCAUUAUGCCCAAGGGUUUCUUAUGUUCUUGCUGGGCACCACUCUUUUUGCUGACCAGGUGAACACAGUUGGACUCUAUCUACUGAGCGCACUGGUGGAUGUGACCCGGAUCCGACGCUAUGAUUGGGGUGGCGCAGGCCUAGCCACAUUGUACGGGUACAUGAGUUCCUCAUCCCACCACAGCGGACAUUUGCUAGGAGGCUACUGGCGAGCCUGGGAGUUGUGGGUGUAUGCCUACUUUCCGAGGCUUGCUCUAGAGCUGGAGGUGGAGAUGCUCCUUGUUGUCCCAUAUUCUCAUCGAUACGAUGUGAGGUGCGAGGGAGGCCACGAUAGUUUUUCCUAUUCUUUCGCAGAUACUUUGACACCAUAGCCGCAACAGAGAUCACCUGGCUGCCCUGGGCCGUGUUGCCUGAUGUAGUGAGAGACCAGUAUAUGAGUGCUUGGGAGACUACCCGAUUCUGAGUUUUGCUGGAGGGUCUGGUUUGCCGGGCUUGGUACUUGGGAGAGCGCUUCUUGCGACAGACCCUUGGUUUACCUGAGCAGAUAGUCCCGAGGCCCCCUCCUAUCCAUAUGAGGCAUACAGAGAGGUACACCCUGCAGGAGAUGACCGAUUUCAUGAUCAGUUGGGACGCUGACUUUUUCUGAGAUGAGGGCGACUACACCAUCUUCUUCGAGACUCAUCUUAUGUGACCUCUGGCCAGUGCUCGCCGAGUUGAGAGGGAGAGGCCUGUAGCGCCAGUAGGAGGAGCAGAAGUGUUGAGGGUGACUCAAGCCCGUGACAGGAGUGGUUCCUGGAGGGGACGGAGAGCAGAGUGGCCAGAGCUGCCCACCACCAUGACAUGCCGAGGACAGGGCGGAGAGACUUAUAAGAUACCCAUCGCCCCUUCUCCGCCUGAUCAUGAUCUCGUCGGAGUUCAUGGCUCGACCCCAGCUUCCAUCGAGUACACUGGGCAGGCUCUGGAGUUGUCAGCCUCAGUGAUGGGGAUGCUACAGAGGAGCAUAGACCUGUUGAGCAUUUACGGUAUCCUGUGAGUUCUUUCAACCUCAGUCCCAAAACUUUGCAUAGUCUGUUCCCUAUUGAUCUGAUG